UGCCGGAUAGGCAACUGGUAGGCAUCUACCGGUUGGGAAAGGUGCAACUGCACCGCAGAUGGAGGAGCCCGCGGCGCAUUAGCUAGUUGGUGGGGUAACGGCCUACCAAGGCGACGAUGCGUAGCCGACCUGAGAGGGUGGACGGCCACACUGGGACUGGGACACGGCCCAGACUCCUACGGGAGGCAGCAGUAGGGAAUCUUCCGCAAUGGGCGCAAGCCUGACGGAGCAACGCCGCGUGAGCGAAGAAGGCCUUCGGGUUGUAAAGCUCAGUCACUCGGGAAGAGCGGACGAGGGAGUGGAAAGCCCUCGUCGAGACGGUACCGAGAGAGGAAGCCCCGGCUAACUACGUG
RNAcentral lists this ribosomal RNA (353 nucleotides) under uncultured bacterium. RNAcentral describes it as "bacterial SSU rRNA". It matches the Rfam family "Bacterial small subunit ribosomal RNA", at positions 167 to 507 of the family's 1533-position model. The record is from RNAcentral.